This 792-nucleotide unclassified non-coding RNA is filed under the name uncultured Stereum. Its description in RNAcentral is "sequence contains ITS1, 5.8S rRNA gene and ITS2". The stretch from base 272 to 425 matches the Rfam family "5.8S ribosomal RNA". Lineage: Eukaryota; Fungi; Basidiomycota; Agaricomycetes; Russulales; Stereaceae. The record is from RNAcentral.
CUGCGGAAGGAUCAUUAUUGAAUGAACUUGGUCGGGCUGAUGCUGGUCUCUCCUUGGAGGGGCAUGUGCACGCCUGGCACCAUCUUCUUUUACCACCUGUGCACCUUUUGUAGACUGUGGGGACUACCUUUCCGAGGUCAAACUYGGUUGAAAGGAUUGCUGAUGCCAGCUUUCCUUUGCCUGUYUUCUUGUYUAUGCCUUUUUUUUUUUUAUCACAAAUGUAUGACAAUGAAUGUUAUGUUGGGCAUUAUUGCCUUUAAAAACCUAAUACAACUUUCAACAACGGAUCUCUUGGCUCUCGCAUCGAUGAAGAACGCAGCGAAAUGCGAUAAGUAAUGUGAAUUGCAGAAUUCAGUGAAUCAUCGAAUCUUUGAACGCACCUUGCGCUCCUUGGUAUUCCGAGGAGCAUGCCUGUUUGAGUAUCAUGAAAUUCUCAACCUUGCUUUUGCAUCUGUGAAAUCAAGGUUGGAUUGUGGGGGACUUUUUUGCAGGCUUCAAAUCGAAGUCUGCUCUCCUGAAAUAUAUUAGCAGAGUUGCAUGAACAGCUUUUUAUUGGUGUGAUAAUCAUCUAUGCCAUGGGCUGUGAAAGCGAGUUUGCCUUCCAAUUUUAACAUCCGUUAUUCAUGACUUUUUGAUCUCAAAUCAGGUAGGACUACCCGCUGAACUUAAGCAUAUCAAUAAGCGGAGGAAAAGAAACUAACAAGGAUUCCCCUAGUAACUGCGAGUGAAGCGGGAAGAGCUCAAAUUUAAAAUCUGGCAAUCCUKGUGGUUGUCCGAGUUGUAAUCUAGAGA